UGGUGACCUGAGGUUCCCUGGCUGUCACUCUGUCCCAGCCCCUCCUGGCCCGUGGGGCACAGGCUGAGUCACAGUAAAGUCUGUGGGGUCCUGACCC
Non-coding RNA from Canis lupus familiaris (dog), 97 nucleotides. The record is from Rfam. NCBI's taxonomy places the organism in Eukaryota, Metazoa, Chordata, Mammalia, Carnivora, Canidae.